GACGAACGCUGGCGGCGUGCUUAACACAUGCAAGUCGAACGGAAAGGCCCUGCUUUUGUGGGGUGCUCGAGUGGCGAACGUGUGAGUAACCUGUGAGUAACCUUCCCUUGACUUUGGGAUAACUUCAGGAAACUGGGGCUAAUACCGGAUAGGAGCUCCUGCUGCAUGGUGGGGGUUGGAAAGUUUCGGCGGUUGGGGAUGGACUCGCGGCUUAUCAGCUUGUUGGUGGGGUAGUGGCUUACCAAGGCUUUGACGGGUAGCCGGCCUGAGAGGGUGACCGGCCACAUUGGGACUGAGAUACGGACCAGACUCCUACGGGAGGCAGCAGUGGGGAAUAUUGCACAAUGGGCGGAAGCCUGAUGCAGCAACGCCGCGUGCGGGAUGACGGCCUUCGGGUUGUAAACCGCUUUCGCCUGUGACGAAGCGUGAGUGACGGUAAUGGGUAAAGAAGCACCGGCUAACUACGUG
This 468-nucleotide ribosomal RNA is filed under the name uncultured bacterium. RNAcentral describes it as "partial 16S ribosomal RNA". It matches the Rfam family "Bacterial small subunit ribosomal RNA", at positions 28 to 507 of the family's 1533-position model. The record is from RNAcentral.